RNAcentral lists this ribosomal RNA (503 nucleotides) under uncultured bacterium. RNAcentral describes it as "bacterial SSU rRNA". It matches the Rfam family "Bacterial small subunit ribosomal RNA", at positions 19 to 518 of the family's 1533-position model. The record is from RNAcentral.
CUGGCUCAGGAUGAACGCUAGCGGCAGGCUUAACACAUGCAAGUCGAGGGGCAUCGGGAGUAGCAAUACUGCCGGCGACCGGCGCAAGGGUGCGUAACGCGUGAGCAACAUGCCCGUAUCAGGGGGAUAAUCCAUGGAAACGUGGUCUAAUACCCCAUAGUAAUUAUGUAAGGCAUCUUAUAUAAUUUAAAGCUUUGGUGGAUACGGAUUGGCUCGCGUGACAUUAGCUAGAUGGUAAGGUAACGGCUUACCAUGGCUACGAUGUCUAGGGGUUCUGAGAGGAAGGUCCCCCACACUGGAACUGAGACACGGUCCAGACUCCUACGGGAGGCAGCAGUGAGGAAUAUUGGACAAUGGAUGGAAAUCUGAUCCAGCCAUGCCGCGUGCAGGAAGACGGCCCUAUGGGUUGUAAACUGCUUUUGUAUGGGAGCAAUAAGGGCUACGCGUAGUCCGAUGAGAGUACCAUACGAAUAAGCACCGGCUAACUCCGUGCCAGCCGCGGC